This 356-nucleotide unclassified non-coding RNA is filed under the name soil metagenome. Its description in RNAcentral is "partial contains 5.8S ribosomal RNA, internal transcribed spacer 2, and large subunit ribosomal RNA". The stretch from base 1 to 123 matches the Rfam family "5.8S ribosomal RNA", at positions 35 to 154 of the family's 154-position model. The record is from RNAcentral.
GAUGAAGAACGUAGCGAAAUGCGAUACGUAAUGUGAAUUGCAGAUCUCUCAGUGAACCAUCGAAUUUUUGAACGCACAUAGCGCCCGCCGGUCAUUCCGGCGGGCAUGCCUGUCCGAGCGUCGAUGACGCCGCUCGAGCCCCCGUGCUCGGUGUUGGGGCGCUAGGUCUCCCAGAGGCCUAGGCCCCCAAGUAGCAGUGCGCGGUCCGGCUGCGGGCCCCGGGUACAGUAACUUCACUGUUGAGAUGCCCUGGGAGCCGCUGGCUGGGUCAGCCGUAAAACCCCCCAACUUUUUAUAGUUGACCUCGAAUCAGGUAGGACUACCCGCUGAACUUAAGCAUAUCAAUAAGCGGAGGA